RNAcentral lists this ribosomal RNA (466 nucleotides) under uncultured bacterium. RNAcentral's name for it is "partial 16S ribosomal RNA". It matches the Rfam family "Bacterial small subunit ribosomal RNA", at positions 28 to 507 of the family's 1533-position model. The record is from RNAcentral.
GAUGAACGCUGGCGGCGUGCUUAACACAUGCAAGUCGAACGGAAAGGCUCCUGCUUGCAGGGGUACUCGAGUGGCGAACGGGUGAGUAACACGUGGGUGAUCUGCCCAGCACUUCGGGAUAAGCCUGGGAAACUGGGUCUAAUGCCGGAUAGGACGAUGGUUUGGAUGCCAUUGUGGAAAGUUUUUUCGGUGUGGGGUGAGCUCGCGGCCUAUCAGCUUGUUGGUGGGGUAAUGGCCUACCAAGGCGUCGACGGGUAGCCGGCCUGAGAGGGUGUACGGCCACAUUGGGACUGAGAUACGGCCCAGACUCCUACGGGAGGCAGCAGUGGGGAAUAUUGCACAAUGGGCGCAAGCCUGAUGCAGCGACGCCGCGUGGGGGAUGACGGCCUUCGGGUUGUAAACUCCUUUCGCUAGGGACGAAGCGCAAGUGACGGUACCUGGAGAAGAAGCACCGGCUAACUACGUG